GACGAACGCUGGCGGCGUGCUUAACACAUGCAAGUCGAACGCUGAAGCUCAGCUUUUGUUGGGUGGAUGAGUGGCGAACGGGUGAGUAACACGUGAGUAACCUGCCCCCUUCUUUGGGAUAACGCCCGGAAACGGGUGCUAAUACUGGAUAUUCACUGGUCUUCGCAUGGGGGUUGGUGGAAAGGGUUUUUCUGGUGGGGGAUGGGCUCGCGGCCUAUCAGCUUGUUGGUGGGGUGAUGGCCUACCAAGGCUUUGACGGGUAGCCGGCCUGGGAGGGUGACCGGUCACAUUGGGACUGAGAUACGGCCCAGACUCCUACGGGGGGCAGCAGUGGGGAAUAUUGCACAAUGGGCGCAAGCCUGAUGCAGCGACGCCGCGUGAGGGAUGGAGGCCUUCGGGUCGUGAACCUCUUUCGCUCAUGGUCAAGCCGCAACAAUGGUUGUGGUGAGGGUAGUGGGUAAAGAAGCGCCGGCUAACUACGUG
Molecule: ribosomal RNA, 483 nt
Filed under: uncultured bacterium
Lineage: Bacteria
Description: partial 16S ribosomal RNA
Rfam family: Bacterial small subunit ribosomal RNA
Source: RNAcentral